UGCUUUCCUGACAGGUUGUUUGC
This 23-nucleotide non-coding RNA is filed under the name Mus musculus (house mouse). The record is from RNAcentral. Lineage: Eukaryota; Metazoa; Chordata; Mammalia; Rodentia; Muridae.